This 497-nucleotide ribosomal RNA is filed under the name uncultured bacterium. Its description in RNAcentral is "partial 16S ribosomal RNA". It matches the Rfam family "Bacterial small subunit ribosomal RNA", at positions 28 to 507 of the family's 1533-position model. The record is from RNAcentral.
GAUGAACGCUGGCGGCGUGCCUAAUACAUGCAAGUCGAGCGAACAGAUGAGGAGCUUGCUCCUCUGACGUUAGCGGCGGACGGGUGAGUAACACGUGGAUAACCUACCUAUAAGACUGGGAUAACUUCGGGAAACCGGAGCUAAUACCGGAUAAUAUAUUGAACCGCAUGGUUCAAUAGUGAAAGACGGUUUUGCUGUCACUUAUAGAUGGAUCCGCGCCGCAUUAGCUAGUUGGUAAGGUAACGGCUUACCAAGGCAACGAUGCGUAGCCGACCUGAGAGGGGGAUAGGCCACAUGGGAACUGAGACACGGUCCAGACUCCUAAGGGAGGCAGCAGUAGGGAAUCUGCCGCAAUGGGCGAAAGCCUGACGGAGCAACGCCGCGUGAGUGAUGAAGGUCUUCGGAUCGUAAAACUCUGUUAUUAGGGAAGAACAAAUGUGUAAGUAACUAUGCACGUCGUGACGGUACCUAAUCAGAAAGCCACGGCUAACUACGUG